RNAcentral lists this ribosomal RNA (468 nucleotides) under uncultured bacterium. RNAcentral describes it as "partial 16S ribosomal RNA". It matches the Rfam family "Bacterial small subunit ribosomal RNA", at positions 28 to 507 of the family's 1533-position model. The record is from RNAcentral.
GACGAACGCUGGCGGCGUGCUUAACACAUGCAAGUCGAACGGAAAGGCCCUGCUUUUGUGGGGUGCUCGAGUGGCGAACGGGUGAGUAACACGUGAGUAACCUGCCCUUGACUUUGGGAUAACUUCAGGAAACUGGGGCUAAUACCGGAUAGGAGCUCCUGCUGCAUGGUGGGGGUUGGAAAGUUUCGGCGGUUGGGGAUGGACUCGCGGCUUAUCAGCUUGUUGGUGGGGUAGUGGCUUACCAAGGCUUUGACGGGUAGCCGGCCUGAGAGGGUGACCGGCCACAUUGGGACUGUGAUGCGGCCGAGACUCCUACGGGAGGCAGCAGUGGGGAAUAUUGCACAAUGGGCGGAAGCCUGAUGCAGCAACGCCGCGUGCGGGAUGACGGCCUUCGGGUUGUAAACCGCUUUCGCCUGUGACGAAGCGUGAGUGACGGUAAUGGGUACAGAAGCACCGGCUAACUACGUG